RNAcentral lists this small nuclear RNA (162 nucleotides) under Carlito syrichta (Philippine tarsier). RNAcentral describes it as "U1 spliceosomal RNA (ENSTSYG00000034217.1)". It matches the Rfam family "U1 spliceosomal RNA". Rfam says of the family: U1 is a small nuclear RNA (snRNA) component of the spliceosome (involved in pre-mRNA splicing). Its 5' end forms complementary base pairs with the 5' splice junction, thus defining the 5' donor site of an intron. Lineage: Eukaryota; Metazoa; Chordata; Mammalia; Primates; Tarsiidae. The record is from RNAcentral.
AUACUUACCUGGCAGGGGAGAUACCAUGAUCACGAAGGUGGUUUUCCCAGGGCGAGGCUUAUCCAUUGCAUUCCGGAUGUGCUGACCUCUGUGAUUUCCCCAAAUGUGGGAAACUCGACUGCAUAAUUUGUGGUAGUGGGGGACUGCGUUCGCACUCUCCUC